This is a long non-coding RNA of Oryzias melastigma (Indian medaka), 835 nucleotides long. RefSeq lists it as uncharacterized. The record is from RefSeq and is a predicted model, not a curated record. NCBI's taxonomy places the organism in Eukaryota, Metazoa, Chordata, Actinopteri, Beloniformes, Adrianichthyidae. The transcript has 3 exons.
CCAUAAAGCUGUCGUCACAGACGCUUUGUGCUGCUAAUGACAGUCUGGGCCGCGCAGCCGUUUGUUCAAACAACACCAAGAAUAUAAUCCUGUGGAUUUGUGUAGCGCCCGUCGAAAACAAAGUCUCAAUAUUUCAGAGCGAAGGCUUCAAACAUCACCUGUCUGUCGGAUUUACAUAAAAAUAGUUUUAAUAAUAAAAAUGUUUCUUGUUUUGGUCUGAAACUGUUUGAUUUAUCGAGAAAUAUUUGUGGUGAAAAUGAAUCUAUUUAGACUGAAGUUCUUCCAUUCUCAACACAGGAAGUUCCUGCAUUCAUCAAAGAAAGAAAAAGCAGAAAUGAACCGGAAAAAGACUUUUAGUGAAGCACAGCUCUGCAAACACCACCCCCCCCACUCCACCUCCUUGUUUCAACAAUAGCAGCUCUGCAGGCGAGAGCUCUGCGGUGUGAUGACCCAGUGAAAGAAACUUCUCAAUAAAGGAUAAAUCUCUCAGCCGGUGGGAUCAGCAUGAACACGGGUGACUGGCGGGACGACACCACAGACAUCCAGAAGACGAUCGUUGACUUCCAGGACAGAGAAGCUGAAGGUCAAACUUUCUCCUAUAUAAGUAGGAUCCCGGUCCGUGGACCAAAUACAAUAUUCUUUUGCAUGUCGUAAACUAAAAGGAGGAAAUAAAGAAUACGGUUUAAUUUAUCUAUUUGAUUCUGUGUUCAUUAACAACCAUUUUUACCUGAAAAAGAAGAGCAAUCUAAAACAAACUUUCUUCCAGUGAAAACGGCAAACUGGGAUCCUGACGAUAGACGUGGAGCUGCUCUUUUUAUCCGUUUGUCGUUGUCGC